GGUGUGAGGUGUAGGGUGGGUUCUAGGAUUUCGGCUUUAGAUUUUUGUGUGAGAAGAAAUACAAGAGGGUCUUGUUCUAAUCUCCCACACUACCAUCUUCUCACGUAGCUCCAUCUUCUAAUUUGGAAGAGUCCAGAUGAUCCAAAGGAAGAAGCUUAUUCUAGCCAUUCAGUGCCUUCUGCACGAGCUAGCACUCCCGGGAAGGACGAUCCGAUCAGGACUUUGAGUGGAC
RNAcentral lists this long non-coding RNA (232 nucleotides) under Elaeis guineensis (African oil palm). RNAcentral's name for it is "long non-coding RNA (EGUI_LNC039945)". The record is from RNAcentral. Lineage: Eukaryota; Viridiplantae; Streptophyta; Magnoliopsida; Arecales; Arecaceae.